UUGGAAAGAGUUUAAAUCAAACAUUCUUAAACAAAGAACACAUGAGAAGUGUUUCAUAAAGAGGAAUAGACAAUAGAAGAAUCAACAUGAACUGAUAUAAGAGGUUCCUUGAGACUCAAGGUUUCUUCCUUCAUGGUUUCCAGAGGAUUGUGGUUUCAGCAACCAUGGAGGUCACAGUGUAGGGAUCCAUGUUCGACGCUGGCCUACGAUCUUCAAAGUAUCCUUUCCCAUCUUUCUCUGUGUCACGACCAACCCUAAUCGAUGCCCCACGGUUUGCAACACCCUUUACAAAACCGGUUUAAGUUAGAUCAUGCUUUAGGCUAAUAAUGUAUACAUUUUAAGAAAAGUCUUACCCAUAAGAAAGUGUUGAUAUCAGCAGUCUCGUGUCUUCCAGUGAGACGACGCUCGUUGCCUUCACCAUAAGCAGCGAUGUGUUCCUUGUGACGCAGUCCAAGCUUCUCUAUCGCUUUCUUUAUGAUCUCGUACCCUCCAUCUUCCCUCAUCGACUUGGUGCUGCAGAAAACAAGAAAACCAAAAUCAGAAAACAAAAAAAAACACAGAGAAAAAAACAUAUAAACGGAAUCAUAGCAGACCUGUAAUUUGUGUGUGCUCCUGCACCAUUCCAAUCUCCCUAGAAUAUAAAAAUUAAAAUAGAGUAAUUCAGUGAAUUUAAAAGAAUCAAAGGUCUAUUUUGUAAAUAAUUGAAAAUAUGGUAAAUCUAACCGGAAUUGGUUUAGGGUCAAGAGACAAAACCACUCCAGCCAAUUCUGUGAUCCUCUGUUUUUAACAUACCCAAGAAACAUAGUCAUAAAACAGAGUAUAUGAAGAGACAGGUCUUGAUGAGUGUGUUUAUAUAUACCUCGAGGAUGUAACGAGCGACCCAGACCUGAUCAGCGGCAGCUAUUCCAACGGUUGGACCGACUUGGAACUCCCACUGAAAACCCACACAAUAUCAGUUUCACGGUCAAUAUGAUAUUGAAUCAGAAGAAUACAUAGGGAAUAUAUUAAACCUGGCCGGGCAUGACUUCUCCGUUAGUGCCACUGACAUUGAUUCCGGCGUAAAGACAUGCUUUGUAAUGAGCAUCUACGAUGUCUCUUCCAAAGGCUUUGUCUGCUCCAACUCCACAGUAGUAUGGUCCCUGUUUUUUUUUAUUAAUAAAUAUUUUUUUACUUAUUUGGCACAAACUGGAGUUUUGGAUUGAGAUAAAGAAGUGAAAAGAUUCGCCGAGAAAAUCUUUACCUGAGGACCUGGGAAGCCACCGACGGGCCAACCAACUGGCCACUUAGUAUCCUUUUGGAGCAAAGUAUACUCUUGCUCAAUUCCGUACCUGAAUUUCAAUAUAUUUGAAAUAUUUAAUUAAUUUAGAAAAAUGUAAAUUUAGAGUAACAAAUGUGUUUAUGGUCAAAUUAUUUAAUUAUACUUUUACGUUAUAAAAAUAUAGAUCAACAAAGUUGACUACAUCAUGUUACGUCUCCUUGCGUUACCAUUUGGAAUUAAACUCGCAUGAUGAUGUUGACAAAAAAUUAACUAUGAAAACAUAAAGUUUUCAAACAAAAAAAUUGAGAUCAACUUUGACAAAAAAAAUUUCAUUGUGAAGAUGUAUACCAUGUUUCUUCGGCGGCAACGGUUGGGUCGCUAAAGAUCUUGGCCGCCGCAUGCCUUUUGUUGGUUGGGAUCGGUUCGCCAGCCGGUGUAUAAGCGUCACACAUCACCUAAUUCCAAAUCAAUCACAGAAACAAAAUAAAUGAAUAUUGCAACAAAUUUCGAGAGUAUUGUUCUAGUUGUUUAAAUGAGUUAUUACAAGGAUGUUGUUGCCUCUUCUGAAUGGAUCUUUGAAGAUAGCUUGAGGGCUGAAAAAAAAAACACAUAGAAAACCCACAAUCUCAUUAAUCCAAGAAUUAGAAAAAGUUACUUAAAUUAUUAAUUGAUUUAAUUAUGGAACAUACUAGAUGAUGACUUCACUGUCAUCGCCGGGGGCUUGGCCGGUGCUUGAACCGUCAUAGUUCCAUUUCGGUAACUCCGAUGGAUCCUUCACUGGUCCCGGCAAAGUCUGCAGCAAUAAUAUUAUUAAUCAUGUCCUAAAUUCGUGAUAUUACUUUAACGAUUUACUCAUCGUUUACACUAUACAAAAAAAAAAUUCAAAAUAAAUUAAUUACCCUUGCUUUGCUUCUCAUAUCCAAGCCUGAUCCACCAAUCCUAUUCAUCAAAUCACGAAAAUAUUAAUCAAAAUAUUCAAUCAAUCCAAUAUCUUUCAACUUUUAGUAUAUCAAGCAAAAUUUCAAAGUUUUGAGUCAUAAGAAAACCUCAAGGAUGAGAACUAUAGACACAAACGCCAACUCAAACACAUAAGCAAAUAAUAUACUGUUGUAGAUUAAAUAAAAAAAAAAGAAAUAAUAUUACGGACCAUAUGUACUCGGCAAUGAUCUUCUCAGAGGAGUCGGAGAGAUCGAGAUUGAUUAAAUCUGCAAGAGCCGACAUUUUUCUAGGAAUCUGAACAGAAAACUAAACUUUUUUUGUAUAACACUAAGGAGAUUCCUGCAAGUGUAUUUAUAUAGGGGGGAGAGAGAAGGGGUUGGUGCGUGCUUGACUAUAUGGUAAGGAAAACAAAAUGAUUUGGGUGAAAAACGGAGAAGGCGGAAAUAUCGGGCUAUUAUUGGAAAUGCGUAUAAUCCGGAGAUUCUAUUGAUUCCGAGGUUAUAUAAGAUUCUAUUCAUAUAGUAUCUAUUAGGAAAAACAAAAAUUAUUCACCUGUCACCUGAUGCCCCGGUAACGUUUACCAUAUAAAGCUUCUCACCAACCGUGGUUCUCGUGUAAUACAAUCACAUACGGUAAAACUUCUAUAAAUUAAUAAUGCUAAGAUUUUAAAAUUUUAUUAAUUUAUAAAAAUAUUAAUUUACAAAAAAAAAUUAUUUAAAUUAUUUAUUUUUAGAUAUAUUUAUUCUAAAAUAAGAAAAAUAUUUGAUUUUAAUAUAUUAACAUUAAUUGUUUUUUUUUUUGAAAUUUGAUAUUUAUAUUAAUUUUAUUAUAUUAUUUGGUGUAUAUAAUAUAUAUUGCAUAGAACAUAAAUGUGGUUUUAGAUAUAAUUUUACUAAAUAUCAUCAAAAAUAUUAAGUGUUAAUAACAUAUAAAGAUAAUUCUAUAACAUUAGUUUCUUGCUUAUAUAAAAUAUGUAUACAUAAAAAUUAUUAAUUUAUAAUUUUAAUGGGACCAUAUAUUUAAAUAGAUUUUAAAAUUAUUAUCUUAUUAUUUUAUCGAUUUGUGUUAAAUAUUGAACCAACUCAAGUUGAGACCAACGAAAUUUAUUAAUUUAUAGAGAUUAUUAAUUUAUCGAAUAUUAAUUUAUAUAGGUUUUACUAUAUUUACAAACUUUGCAAUUUAUGUAGUCAAAACUAAAUAUAUGUAGUCAAAACUUAAUAAAACAGUCAGAUAGUAUCUUUUAUUUUUAUAGCUAAAAUAGGACAGAUAUAUAACGAAAAUAAGGAUCUUUUGAGAGAGAGGUUUAUAUGGGAAGGUAGUAUAUUAGAUUCAUUCGCAGGAUCUUUUAAUUAGGAAACAUGGAAUAUAAUUUUUAGAAUCGUUUGGAAGAGUGUAAAUCCAAACCUACCAAAAUUAUUCUGAUAUUUUUGAGUCUUCGACCCUUCUGUUUGUUUGUUUAUUAAAUUUUCUCUUCGAGAUUUUUUAUUCUCAUUUUUUUAGUAACUCAACUUUUGGACAAAUUAAAAACCCCAAGUUUGAAUAAUCACUAGGAAAAAAACAAUUGUGUUUACAUUGAAAAUGCGUGACCAAGCUUUUCCCUAACCCGUGGGGCUUAACAUUUGAGUGGUGAGCCAUAAGCUCCACUAAAUUUAAGAUCCAAGCUUUAUCGUUUCAAGAUUCUUGUUUUAAAGGAAUCUCUUAAAAUCACCCACGCUCUUCUCGUUUGCACGGUUACGUUAAGCGCUUUACUAUUAUCGAUUCAAACCAUUUAAUAUUGUGUUAAAUUCUCCAAAUAUAUAAAAUUAUAGAGUUUUGUACAAUGAGAUAAUAUGAGUAAUUUUUUUGAAAAUACUUUGUAAAUAAAUAUAUAUAUAUAUAUUCAAAGCUAAAAACAUUCGAACGUAAAAAAUGUUAAAAGGUAAAAUAUAUGUAUGUCAUACUACUGUUGAAGUGGUCUAAUACGAAAUCGACAUAUAGUAAUUAAAAAAUAAAAUAAAAAAUUUAUAGUGCACAUAAACGCCAAAACAUCACUCUCUCUUACGCUGAUAAUACAGUGUAAUUAGGUUUGUCUUUGUUUCUUGUUAGUAAACUCUAUAAAGAUUUCCUAUUUUUCGUUGAUUCUUAUCUCUGUAAAAUAAAAAAUUAAACUAAUAAUACAGUAACAAUAUAUUUACAUAUCCGAAAGUAGACACUUAUAUAUAUUUUUUAAGUAGACACUAUAUCAAAAUGAAAAGAGAGAGAGAGAGAGAGAGAGAGAGAGAGAGAGAGAGAGAGAGAGAGAGAGAGAGAGAGAGAGAGAGAGAGAGAGAGAGAGAGAGAGAGAGAGAGAGAGAGAGAGAGAGAGAGAGAGAGAGAGAGAGAGAGAGAGAGAGAGAGAGAGAGAGAGAGAGAGAGAGAGAGAGAGAGAGAGAGAGAGAGAGAGAGAGAGAGGUAUUUGUGUUGUGAAGCAAAGGCAGAAGAGAAGAAAGGAAUAAAACUAAAUCCAGGAAAAUUAAGAAAGAGAGAUGUUUGCGUAUGUAUGCAUAUCAUGUAUGUAUGCGUAUGUAUGAGAUGUUGUUCCUUGAUAGUAUACAUUGGAAAACGAUAGAUGAGAAAGGGCAAACUCGUAACUCGGUCUAUUCCAAAUACUGAGAGCUUUUUAUUUACAUUUUAAAUUUGUCAUUUUUCGCAUUUCGUGCACCACGCAAAGUAACCCAUGCAGCGAAUAUAAAAUGGUUUGCUGCUACAGUCAUUGAUAUCGCUUAAGUAAUUAGCAAGGCACUAAUUUAACUAAUUAGUUUUUUGUUUUAUUGUUGACUAUUGAAAUUAUAGGUUUAUAGCUCAAAUAACUGAUAUAUGUAAUAAAUUUUUUUUUUUGAAAAGAUGUAUUAUAUAUAUAUAUAUUAACAAACAAUAUUUUAUUAAUUUAGUAGUUGAAACUUUGAAAUGUAAAUUAAUGAGUUAUACCCGAUCAUUUCCAUAGAUAAAAUAUACUACUUAAAAAUAAUGUAUACUUAGCAAUAUGAAUUAUGCAGAUUUAGAUAUUACAUGAAUAUAAACCACUAAAAUUUUGUUGACAUAAACAUGUAUAAUCUUUAAUGGUUGUAAAUAUAUAUACAGAUUUAUUUAUAUACAUGGAGAACAAAUUUUAAAUUUACCUUAUUUAAACCUAAAAAUCUUUUGGUAUAUGGUUAAAACUUACAUGUUCACAGAUUAUGAUGAGAAUGUUGAUUAAAAAAGUUGGAGAAGAGUACAAGAAAAGAGAGAAUAAAGGGUUGCUCUCUUCUGUCCUAUCUAAUCUAUAGUCAAGGCCAAAGCCAAAGUUAAAUAGCUAAAUAAAAGAUUAUAAGAAAAAAGAAAAAACAAAGACAAAACAUUUAAAAUAGUAUUUAUUUUUUAAACUAGUGCUUUGAUUUUGGUACCCGGAGACGACGGGAUACGUACAAUUAGAGAGAGAAAGGAACUGUCUCCUCUCUGACUGUUUUUUUAUUUUCUCUCCCCCACUCUCUUCGCUUCUCACUUCACUCUCUGUUUACAUCUUUGUUAUAUUUAUUUAUUUAAUUUCUUUUAUACGAUUUUGGGAUCAAACAAAUUCAAAUUUCUGACCGUAUAUUGUUCAACUAUACCUAAAGAGAUAUACAUUAAAUAUCCGUCCCUCCUUGAGUUUAUGAAGAGUAAUAUAGAGUAUAGACAUUUAGUUCGUAGAUAUAUGUAGACUACAAAAUCAACAGGUGUUGUUUGACCAAUUUGUGAAGUCUAUUAAGACCAAAUUAAGCUGAUCUGUCACUUUAAAGUAAUCACGUAAUUUUAAAAUAUGUAUAUGUAGUAGGCUAUAUUACGAAUCUUCAAAUUGUUUGAUUAUUGUGUAUCAUAAACUUAUGCCUAAGAAUUAGUGUUAUUCAUCCCACUUGAUUUAGAAUAUAUAUUUUGUGUUUUGUUUUCUUAAAAAGGGUAACAUACUUUGUGUAUUUUGCCUUCCAAAUGUGGGGAAAAAGUUGUCUUACAAAAAAGUACCUUUCUCUUCAAAUGCACUCAUACAUGCAUGAUACCCAUACGACACACAUUCGUGUGUACAAUACAAUGUUUAUAGUAGGUACAUAAACCAUGUCUCAUAUAAGAAUUCUCUCUAUUAUUUUUUGGUAAAAUUCUCUCUAUUAUUGUAACGCAUAAUUGCUAGAUUGAUAUAUGUAUAUGUACAUAUAUAAUUAUAUUUUAUCAUACCUAAGAAAAGAUCAGCCAGAAAGUAUAUUUUGUUUGUUUCCUUGAGUAAGCAAACACAAGUAAACUCUAAAGAACCUAAAGAUUUUCUUCUAAUUCCCUUUUCAUUUUCCCAAAUAUUCCUUCUCAGUUAAAAAAAAAACUCUUUCUAUAUUUCUUUGAGUUGUCUCUAAGAAAGUAUUAGCUAUUCUUUCCUCAUAUGAUUAUUUAUAUAAGAUAAUUUUUUUCUUCAUUGACCGGAUACAUAUUUUACAUAAUAUGAAAAGAUUAAAUUUAUUUUUGACAAAGCGGUUUACUUUAUUAUUUAGUUUGUUACAACCCAAAUUAGAUAGAUUCUGUGUAGAUGAAAAUAUAUCAACUUUUAUAUAGUAUAGAUUUUUUAGAAGAAAAAAUUCAUCUAGUUUUUUUUUCCUCUUUUUACCUUUUUAAUGACAUGGCUAUUAUUUUGAAUCAUUGAUACAAGAGACAAUAUAAAUAAAAAUUCAGUUAAAAUUAUGUCAAAAGCAACGUUAAAAGCAUAUACAAUUGGUAGUCUUAUGCGCAAAGAGGACAAAAAAGAGUACACCACUUGUCCAAAAUGAAAUUCCUUGGAUAAAAGAACUAUAUAUUUCUAUUAUAUAUGAAAUUAGGCCACGAUGAAUGGCCAUGUAGAAAAUUGACGAAAAUGGCUUAGCUAACUUUCUCUGGGAAAACAGCUAUUUCUUAAAAAGCAGGAACUCUAUUAUUUUCCUACCAAAUUAAAGCCUACGUACGUGUCUUCUAUUAAUUAGUUGCUAAUUUUAGAGAUAUAAAUAACGUUGGUCCAUCAUAUUGCAUGUACAUUGUCUUAUGUCUUUAAUUUAUAAGUUUUAUAUAUUGGCUCAAAGUCUCUAUAGUUAUAUACUACGUGCAUUUCGCAUUCAUUAAUGAUUUGGAGUCUUUUGACUACUGUCAGUAAUCAGACAUAACUGAGAUAAGUAUGUGAAUUGACACUCUUGUCAAAACGGUAUAACUAAGACAUUAGUUUUUUUUUAUAAGUUAUUUUCUAGGGGUUUUACUAAGAAAAAGCAUAAUUAGUGAAUGCCUAUAUAUUAACUGUUCCGUAGAUGGGUAUGUAAACGUGUAAUAAUAUCAAUGCAUGGACACAAACGUACGUCGGUGAGUGAGAUCCAAUAUGACAAGUAAUUACUGUUUUAUUUGAAAUUUAUUGGAGUAUUUUAUUUAUUUUUUAUGAAAAUAAAUUAUCACCAUGCCAGAUUUCAAAAAAAUAAAAAUUAUCACUGCACGCAUUAAAUGGAUCCAACAGAACAUGAGGUUCUAUAUUGUCUAAAUUAAUAUUUUACACCUUUUUGGAAUAUAUCGGAGAAUGAAAGACUCCGUUGAUUCUACCAAUUCGUUGACGUUCAUAUCUCUAAACUACUAUUUGUCACAUAUUUGAUUUUUUUUUAAAUCUUUUUACUUAAUUGUUAGUAUCUAUUUUAAACUUUCUACCUUGUACAUAUAAAUCUACAUCUUUGUCAAAUAAGGAAUCUAACUGAUGAACAUAUUACAGUAACAUUAUGAAUGAGUAGAGAAAAAAUACAGAGGAAUAAUAUUAGAGGAAUAAAAAAGAAAAUGAUUCUUUAUCAAUUUUAGCAAAAAACAAAUUUGUUCUAUAUUCCUUUAAAAUAAAAAGAAUGAGAAUAAAUGCAAAGGAAAAACAAUUCAUUAUAAAUGGUAAAAAAAAAUUAGGAAUAGUAAAUAAUGCAUUAUUUUCUUUCAUUCUUUGGUCACCAGUUACACCCAAAAAAUUUUGAUUUAUUUAUUUUAAUGGAUCCACAUGUUUCUUGCAUUAUGAAAAAAAUUGUCACACAUUUUUAAUAUUAGUUAAUUAUGCUAUUACAUUAAAGAAGUAGUUAGUUUCAAAUCAAUUCUCUAAAACAAUCACUUGGAGCCACUCUUUAAAUGGAAAACUAAUAGCGAUUCAUACAAGCUUAGAAUUAACUUUAGAAUCAUACACAAUAUAUUACAUAAAUAGAUUUACACUAGUCAAUUUUACCUCAUCAAAUUUACGUCUAAAUGUAUCAUUCUGAAUCGUCUUAUAUAGAUCCACAUAUAACAGUUCUAUUUGCAUCAUGAUGAAUGAUCUCUUAUAUAUAUUUUCUCCAUUUAUCUACAUAAUUUCAAGAUUCGAAAUCCAAUCUCUAAAAUAAAAAAUAUAUAUUAAUAAACCAUCGGCAAACCACUAAACUAACUUCCAUGUUAUCAUAGAGAGGAAAAUUUUGGGCUAAAAAGGUUUUUUUGCACACUUAAUUUUCUUAUUGAGAAGAGAAAAUUGAUGUUCGUUAAGAAUUGUAAGAGAAAUAAUCGAAUCCACUGGAGCGCUUUGCAAAGUGUUUUCUUGUGUAGCAUCUCAAAUUUAUAGUAAGCAUAAGUUCUUACAAACAACGUUUGUGUAAAAACAAGGACAACUAGGGUAAACGCGAAUCAUUUUGGUACCUCCUAGACAUUAGACAAUGUAUGGAUUGGAGUAUAAAAGAAUUCCUUUAUUUUAUGGGUCAAAUAUUUCAGCUAUUAGUAAUUACAUAAAUUUCAUGAAAAACAUGGUGAUAUCUAUUUCGUCUUAUGCGGAAAGCUUUUCCAACCAAAAAAAACAUUAAUUGGUUUUUCAUUUUGCAAUGAGAAUAGCCCAACAUGAUUCGUUCAUCACAUUAUCUCAUAAAGAAUGUAUAUAAUAUGCUUUCUCACUUCUAUUUUCAUUUUUUUCUUUCCUUUCACGUUCACCGUGCAAAAUUAUCCCUCUCAAGUCUCAAGUGGCAUUCUAGUUGGAGAAUAAAGGGAAUGCUUAAAGUCUUCCAUAUUUUUGUUUAAAGAACCCAAAAACUACUUUUAUGCUUUACGUCUUUUGAAAUAUAAUCUUAGGGAUAGUUUCAAAAAAUAUAUAAAAAAGGGUUAUAUUGGACCCAUCGCUUUUAGAUAUGCAAAUAGCAAAAUUUCUAGAGUUGUGAAUUACAUGAUUUCAUUCUCUUCCAAUCUCAAAAGGAACGAAACAAAAAUUUGAAAUUAUUAUCCCCUUUUACAUUUUGUAAAGAUAUAGCAAAUAUAUAUUUACUAUCACAUAAUGAAGCUAACUGGGUGAAUUUUUAAAUAUAAUUCACUUCAAACUUUCUUUUUUCAAAGAAGCUAGUGAAACUAUUUCGAAAACAUAAAAAUAUUUGUACUUACAAAAUAAUUUACUGGAAAAGCUAUCACAAUUCAUUGGAGAAUAUAAAGUUUGAUCACUGGCUAGUAAUCAAUCUACCAAUAAUACGACACAUCAUUUUUGUAAGGUAUCUAUCAAAAUUUGACGAAAUUUCUUAGUGCAUAAAAUUGUUGAUCACUAGCUAGUAAUCAAUUAAUUUUCUUGUAAUCAAUUAAUUUUAUCAGAAGUAUGUUUUUAUUUUCAGCUUUGUUGUAAAUAAAUAAAUAAAAAAAUCUAUACAAAAUGAUAAAAUAGAAACAGAAGUUAAAGAGAAAAUAUUGGUACUACACUCCAACAAAUAACUUAUCAAAUAUAACUAAAAUCACAUGUAUGUAUAUAACAUAUUAAUCACUCAAUGAUGUAUUUGCAAAACUUCUAGAAUACUAGUGAUUUUUGUUACAAAAGAAAUUGAAACAAGACUUUGAUCAACAUUCUUUUUGGGUCACAAUUAUCGUCAAUACUAAAAGAAUAGAAAUCCAUGUUAUAUUUUUUUUCGCGUAAAAUUGGUUAUUCUAUACCAACUGUUUUCUCUUCGGGGUGGUGGGAGAUGGGGCCUAAGGAAUUGGCAAAAUUGUACCAUGGGUUGGUUCAAACGCAAUGGACAAGACCGAAGAUUGGGAAAGAAUGAGAUAUGGCAUGAAGGUGUUGUAGUUGUCUCAUUAACCAACAACAGUCAUAGAGAGAUAUGUGAUGUAUAUUGAUCAUGAGAGGGUCCAUAUCAUUAUAUUUAUAUUGGGUGAAUAUAUCAUGUAACGUCAAUUUUAUAUGUCUAUAUAUUGUUAUUAUGAUUAAUAAAUAGUAAGAAUAUUAUGAGGGAGAAAGAGCACACAAAACCAAAGAAUGUACUGUGACACCCACCAACAUCGCGUAACUAUGAUACAUAUAUGUACUUACCAUAGCGACAAGGUUCUAAUCCAUACCGGGGUGAACAUGUAUUCUUGUCGCUUUGAUUUUUCUUGCAACCUCUUCUCAGGUUUCUAUUUAUUAGGUUUAACAAUAUUUUCUUGUUAGGCAUCUACCGAUAGCCUUUUCCGACUAAUAACAGCUUAGUAGUUAUUAACCAUAAAUUGUUUCUAGUCAGGUUCUUGAUUGCACUAAAAUGACAAAAUUUCAAGUCAUGAUAAUAAAAUUAGCUAAUACUACUUUUUAUUUCAGUCGUCGUGAAACUGAAUCAUGUGUUGCGAAUGAAUGAUUAAAGCUUUGAAUGAUCAGCGAUAACAGCAACGUCAAACACAAUAUAUAUAAACACACACAUUUAUGAGAGCUUUUAUAACAAAAUUUAAUAAUUUAUCCAUAAACCCCGUCACAUUUAUGGUUUUUUUUUUUUUGAAAAAAACACAUUUAUGGUUUUUUCAGUAGGUGUGAAACCUAAAUGAGCUUUUCUCGCAAGAUGUUAUAAAGUGGGAAUUAAAUAAAAUUUUGAGAUAAGUGUAGGAAUAUCUCAAAUUCGAAUCUGCAAAGUCAUCUUAAAUGAUAAAUGGAUCAAAAAGCUUAAAUAAUUGAUGUAAGUUUAAGGUUAAGAGAGAUAUAGAGAGAGAGAGAAGCAACUCAAACAAAAGAGUAAUAAAUGAGAGACAGGAGGGCACAAGACUUUUCUGCCCAUUGCAGAAAAGAUAGCCUGAUGUGAGAGGUGAUGAAAUCAUUUUGUAAUCGAUUGCUUUAUGAUUGCUCCUUUCAUUUUAUUUUUUUCCUUAAAAAAUAUAGAGAUGCAUUUAUUAACAAGUGAAAAAGUUAUCGUUGGGUUGGAUUUUUUUUGUUCAGAAAAAAAAGUGCUGGAUUUUUUUUCUUUCUCUAAAGCUGAUUAAAGUAGAAGAGAAAAAAGUAUAUAUUCAAUAAACAAAGUGCUUUUACCAAAGCUUUUUCCCCUCUGUGUUUUCACUUAAUAAAUGUGGAGUAUUAUUUAUUGCUGACAAAUAAAAAUAUAUAUACAUGAUAAAGUCAUGAGAUGAAAAAAGCAAAAGUUACAAAAAAGCUGCAAGAUGAUGAAGGUAUAAUGACUAAAUAAUAAUCGAAUGCAUGCAUGCAUUGCUAUUCAGUAUUCUUAUAUACGCACAACACAUACCAAAGUAACUUUUUACUAACUUCUGAUGACUCGCUUGUUUCAACCCUUCAAACAUUUACUUAUUCUUCUGCUUUAUAUUCACUUCACAAACCUUCUCCCAAACUAUGUGAUGCUUCUUUAAAUUCCAAAGUAGAUGUGUGUGUGUGUAUAUUAUUUACGCAUAGAAACAUGUAUGCCAUGCAUGUCAAUCUUAUCAUGUAGAUUUUUAUUUAUAACUUAUGUGGUUAAACUCCAAACCAAUGUCUAGUACCAAUUCCGAUUGUCAUGUGGAACAACAAUGAAUUUGACUUUUAUCUUUUUUUUGAACUUAAAAAAAGAAGAAGAUAAAGUCAAAUUCGAUUACCAAGGUGAUUUCUCAACCACUAACUUUUUUUAACAUUAAAGUUUAGUUGAAUCAAAGAAUUUCAAAAUAGUUUUAAACUGGUAAAGUUUGGUCUAAGCUCUAAAUUAAUUAGGAAUGUGAAUCUCAAAUCAUAACUACAAAUGAAAUUGAUAAAUAAAUAUAAUCUGACAAUAAUUAAAAAGUUUGGUGACCAAAUAAAAUAUAAUAAGACUAGUGUAGAUUUUUUAUAAAAUGGUUUUCAAGACUAAUGUAGUUCGAUUUAUUGAUAGUUUCGUUACCCUCUUCGUUACUUUUUUUGUACAACAGAAAUUUCAGUGAGAAAAGUUUAGUACACAACCCUCUUCGUCUCCUAUAUACUCUUUGUUUAGCUCAUUGUAGAAACGGGCCCAAAAGAGAUGUUAUCAAUCCUUCCUUUAUUUAUCCAUCUUCGGUUACCGUCGAGUCGGGUCUAGUUUGGGCCGCCUAGUAAUGGAGAAGUUUGUAAGCUUCGGUUUAAGUUAAUGUCAAAAACUUGACUAAACCGAGACUUGAAUCUUGUAAUAACAUAUAGAUUCUGAAAUAGAAGAAAGUAAAAGCUAGGGAAAAGAACUACUAUUAUUUCUUGGAAAGAGUUUAAAUCAAACAUUCUUAAACAAAGAACACAUGAGAAGUGUUUCAUAAAGAGGAAUAGACAAUAGAAGAAUCAACAUGAACUGAUAUAAGAGGUUCCUUGAGACUCAAGGUUUCUUCCUUCAUGGUUUCCAGAGGAUUGUGGUUUCAGCAACCAUGGAGGUCACAGUGUAGGGAUCCAUGUUCGACGCUGGCCUACGAUCUUCAAAGUAUCCUUUCCCAUCUUUCUCUGUGUCACGACCAACCCUAAUCG
RNAcentral lists this long non-coding RNA (12860 nucleotides) under Brassica napus (rape). Its description in RNAcentral is "long non-coding RNA (BNAP_LNC001094)". The record is from RNAcentral. Lineage: Eukaryota; Viridiplantae; Streptophyta; Magnoliopsida; Brassicales; Brassicaceae.